UUUAAAUGUAAUUUGUUAAUCAAAUUAGUAUUAGUUAUUUUCUUAAAAGUUAAAGAUUUUGGCGGUAUUUUAGUCUAAUCAGAGGAACCUGUUCUGUAAUUGAUAAUCCACGAUUAAUUUAACUUUUAUUAUUAAUUUGUAUAUCAUCGUGAAUGAAUAUUUUAAAAGAAUAUUAAUAUUCGAGAUUUUUUAUUAAAAUGAAAAUCAGAUCAAGGUGCAGUUUAUAUAGAAGGAGAAAUGGGUUACAAUAAAGUUAUUUAUAUGGAUUUUAAAAUGAAAUUUUUAAUUGAAGGUGGAUUUGAGAGUAAUUUUAUCAAUUUAGUUAAAAUGAUUUUAGCUCUAAAAUAUGU
RNAcentral lists this ribosomal RNA (350 nucleotides) under Pseudobothrideres sp. CO910. RNAcentral describes it as "partial 12S ribosomal RNA". Lineage: Eukaryota; Metazoa; Arthropoda; Insecta; Coleoptera; Bothrideridae. The record is from RNAcentral.